RNAcentral lists this ribosomal RNA (446 nucleotides) under uncultured bacterium. RNAcentral's name for it is "partial 16S ribosomal RNA". It matches the Rfam family "Bacterial small subunit ribosomal RNA", at positions 329 to 792 of the family's 1533-position model. The record is from RNAcentral.
CGCCAGACUCCUACGGGAGGCAGCAGUGGGGAAUAUUGCACAAUGGGGGAAACCCUGAUGCAGCGACGCCGCGUGAGCGAAGAAGUAUUUCGGUAUGUAAAGCUCUAUCAGCAGGGAAGAAAUUGACGGUACCUGAGUAAGAAGCCCCGGCUAACUACGUGCCAGCAGCCGCGGUAAUACGUAGGGGGCAAGCGUUAUCCGGAUUUACUGGGUGUAAAGGGGGCGCAGACGGCAGCGCAAGCCAGGAGUGAAAGCCCGGGGCCCAACCCCGGGCCUGCUCUUGGAACUGCGGGGCUGGAGUGCAGGAGGGGCAGGCGGAAUUCCUGGUGUAGCGGUGAAAUGCGUAGAUAUCAGGAGGAACACCGGUGGCGAAGGCGGCCUGCUGGACUGCGACUGACGUUGAGGCCCGAAAGCGUGGGUAGCAAACAGGAUUAGAUCCCCGAGUA